CAUGCAAGUCGAACGAAACUUAGUGAACCUCGGUUUGCUAAGUUUAGUGGCGCACGGGUGCGUAACGCGUGGGAAUCUACCCCUAGCUGCGGAAUAACUCAGAGAAAUUUGAGCUAAUACCGCAUAAUGUCGCAAGACCAAAGAUUUAUCGGCAAGGGAUGAGCCCGCGUAAGAUUAGCUUGUUGGUGAGGUAAAAGCUCACCAAGGCGACGAUCUUUAGCUGGUCUGAGAGGAUGAUCAGCCACACUGGGACUGAGACACGGCCCAGACUCCUACGGGAGGCAGCAGUGGGGAAUAUUGGACAAUGGGCGCAAGCCUGAUCCAGCAAUGCCGCGUGAGCGAUGAAGGCCCUAGGGUUGUAAAGCUCUUUUACUAGGGAUGAUAAUGACAGUACCUAGAGAAUAAGCUCCGGCUAACUCCGUGCCAGCAGCCGCGGUAAUACGGAGGGAGCUAGCGUUGUUCGGAAUUACUGGGCGUAAAGCGCGCGUAGGCGGCUCGUCAAGUCAGGGGUGAAAGCCCGGGGCUCAACCCCGGAACUGCCUUUGAAACUAGCGAGCUAGAAUCUUGUAGAGGUUAGCGGAAUUCCGAGUGUAGAGGUGA
Molecule: ribosomal RNA, 600 nt
Filed under: uncultured Alphaproteobacteria bacterium
Lineage: Bacteria; Pseudomonadati; Pseudomonadota; Alphaproteobacteria
Description: bacterial SSU rRNA
Rfam family: Bacterial small subunit ribosomal RNA
Source: RNAcentral